CUUCCAGAUGGCAAUGGAUUUGUGACUUCUUCAUUUUAAUCCAGUAAUAUCCUUGUUGAACUUCUGAUUUAGAGCAAAUCAGAUACCCAGAGAUAAAUCAAGGUAGACCAUGUACCCUGAAGUUCUAAGGCCAUGAGUACAAUCCCUAGCUGAUGUGUGACUUGUGAUAAGGUGAGGUUGCAGAAAGGAUUUCCCUGUAGAGGUGUCAUGAAGGAGAAAGAAGGAAGUUUGCAUAGGUCUGUCUGAGGAAGGCAGACAGAGAGAGAGGCAGGAGCUUUCUACAGAAGUGGAGAUUCUUUAUU
Molecule: long non-coding RNA, 302 nt
Organism: Suncus etruscus (white-toothed pygmy shrew)
Lineage: Eukaryota; Metazoa; Chordata; Mammalia; Eulipotyphla; Soricidae
Exons: 2
Source: RefSeq, a predicted model, not a curated record